GAGUUUGAUCCUGGCUCAGGAUGAACGCUAGCGGCAGGCCUAACACAUGCAAGUCGAACGGUAACAGAAAAAAGCUUGCUUUUUUGCUGACGAGUGGCGCACGGGUGAGUAACGCGUAUGCAACCUGCCUUCUACAGGAGGAUAGCCCCCGGAAACGGGGAUUAAUACUCCAUAGUAUUGCGUCAACACAAGUUGAUGUUCUUAAAGCUUCGGCGGUAGAAGAUGGGCAUGCGUCCUAUUAGCUUGUUGGUAAGGUAACGGCUUACCAAGGCAUCGAUAGGUAGGGGGCCUGAGAGGGUGGCCCCCCACACUGGUACUGAGACACGGACCAGACUCCUACGGGAGGCAGCAGUGAGGAAUAUUGGUCAAUGGAGGAAACUCUGAACCAGCCAUGCCGCGUGCAGGAAGAAUGCCCUAUGGGUUGUAAACUGCUUUUAUUUAGGAAGAAUCCCCAGUACGUGUACUGGGUUGACGGUACUAAACGAAUGAGGACCGGCUAACUCCGUGCCAGCAGCCGCGGUAAUACGGAGGGUCCAAGCGUUAUCCGGAAUCAUUGGGUUUAAAGGGUCCGCAGGCGGACUAGUAAGUCAGUGGUGAAAUCUCUCAGCUUAACUGGGAAACUGCCAUUGAUACUGUUAGUCUUGAAUUCGGUCGAAGUGGGCGGAAUGUGUCAUGUAGCGGUGAAAUGCAUAGAUAUGACACAGAACACCGAUAGCGAAGGCAGCUCACUAGGCCUGAAUUGACGCUCAGGGACGAAAGCGUGGGGAGCGAACAGGAUUAGAUACCCUGGUAGUCCACGCCGUAAACGAUCAUUACUCGAUAUCAGCGAUAUACUGUUGGUGUCUAAGCGAAAG
This 854-nucleotide ribosomal RNA is filed under the name uncultured bacterium. RNAcentral's name for it is "bacterial SSU rRNA". It matches the Rfam family "Bacterial small subunit ribosomal RNA", at positions 9 to 857 of the family's 1533-position model. The record is from RNAcentral.